CUGAAGAUCAGUACAAAAAUCCUAGGAGAAAUCUAAGCCACAUCAGAGUUGAUUCUGGACACAAACCACAUGAGUAUCAGGAAUAUGGAGAGAAGCCACAUACACAUAAACAACGUGGGAAAGCCUUCAGUUACCAUCACUCCUUUCAGUCGUGUGGAAGGCCUCACACUGGAAAGAAACGCUAUGAGUGUAAGGAAUGUGGAAAAACCUUCAGUUCUCGUAGAAACCUUCGAAGACACAUGGUAGUGCAAGGUGGAAAUAGACCUUAUAAAUUUCCUAUCGAAGACAUGAGAGAAUGCACACUGGGGAGAAACCGUAUGAAUGUAAGCAGUGUUCUAAAGCCUUGCCUGAUUCCAGUUCCUAUAUAAGACAUGAAAGAACUCACACUGGAGAGAAACCAUAUACAUGUAAACAGUGUGGGAAAGCCUUCAGUGUUUCCAGUUCCCUUCGAAGACAUGAAACCACUCACAGUGCAGAGAAACCCUAUGAGUGUAAGCAAUGCGGGAAAACAUUUCAUCAUCUUGGAAGCUUUCAGAUACACAUGAAAAGGCACACUGGAGAUCGACCUCAUAAAUGUAAGAUAUGUGGGAAAGGCUUUGAUCGUCCCAGUUUAGUUCGAUAUCAUGAACGAAUUCACACUGGAGAGAAACCCUAUGAAUGCAAGCAGUGUGGGAAAACGUUAUCUCAUAGCUCAAGCUUUCGAAGACACAUGAUAAUGCACACUGGAGGUGGACCUCAUAAAUGCAAGAUAUGUGGGAAAGCUUUUGUUUAUCCUAGUGUAUGUCAAAGACACGAAAAGUCUCACAGUGGAGAGAAACCCUAUGAAUGCAAGCAGUGUGGGAAAGCGUUAUCUCAUAGCUCAAGCUUUCGAAGACAUAUGGUAAUGCAUACGGGAGAUGGGCCGAAUAAAUGCAAGGUAUGUGGGAAAGCCUUUGUUUAUCCUAGUGUAUGUCAAAGACAUGAAAAGACUCACUGGAGAGAAACAAUAUGAAUGUAAACUAUUAUAAAGCCUUCUAUAUUUCCAGUUCCCUUUGAUAUCAUGAAUAAACUUACACUGGAC
This 1060-nucleotide long non-coding RNA is filed under the name Pan troglodytes (chimpanzee). RNAcentral describes it as "long non-coding RNA NONPTRT008377". The record is from RNAcentral. Lineage: Eukaryota; Metazoa; Chordata; Mammalia; Primates; Hominidae.